Molecule: transfer RNA, 71 nt
Filed under: Candidatus Staskawiczbacteria bacterium RIFCSPHIGHO2_01_FULL_39_25
Lineage: Bacteria; Candidatus Staskawicziibacteriota
Also listed under: 1 other name
Description: tRNA-Gln
Rfam family: tRNA
About the family: Transfer RNA (tRNA) molecules are approximately 80 nucleotides in length. Their secondary structure includes four short double-helical elements and three loops (D, anti-codon, and T loops).
Source: RNAcentral
UCCGGGGUCGUCUAAUGGUAGGACUCCUCGCUUUGGACGAGGGUAUUUUGGUUCGAAUCCAAGCCCCGGAA